GUUGGAUGUGGUUGCAUACUUCUGAAAUCCUAACUACUAUUGAGGCUGAGGCUGGUGGAUCUCUUGAGCUUUGGAGUUCUGAGCUGUAAUGGACUAAGCCAAUCAGGUGUCCAUCUUAAGUUUGGCAUUACUAAUAUGGUAAGCCUCCAGGAGUUGAGAGCCAUCAGAUUGCCUAAGGAGGAAUAAAUUGCUUCAGGUCAGAAACAGGUAAUUAAAGCUCCUAUGCUGAUAUGAAUUAGGGUAAUGAGUAGCUCCAGCACUUCUGGCCUGGGUGAGAUGGGGAGACCCAGUCUUAA
This 296-nucleotide signal recognition particle RNA is filed under the name Vombatus ursinus (common wombat). Its description in RNAcentral is "Metazoan signal recognition particle RNA (ENSVURG00010019986.1)". It matches the Rfam family "Metazoan signal recognition particle RNA". Rfam says of the family: The signal recognition particle (SRP) is a universally conserved ribonucleoprotein. It is involved in the co-translational targeting of proteins to membranes. The record is from Rfam by way of RNAcentral. Lineage: Eukaryota; Metazoa; Chordata; Mammalia; Diprotodontia; Vombatidae.